This 242-nucleotide ribosomal RNA is filed under the name uncultured bacterium. RNAcentral describes it as "partial 16S ribosomal RNA". It matches the Rfam family "Bacterial small subunit ribosomal RNA", at positions 111 to 353 of the family's 1533-position model. The record is from RNAcentral.
UAAUGUCUGGGAAACUGCCUGAUGGAGGGGGGAUAACUACUGGAAACGGUAGCUAAUACCGCAUAACGUCGCAAGACCAAAGAGGGGGACCUUCGGGCCUCUUGCCAUCAGAUGUGCCCAGAUGGGAUUAGCUAGUAGGUGGGGUAACGGCUCACCUAGGCGACGAUCCCUAGCUGGUCUGAGAGGAUGACCAGCCACACUGGAACUGAGACACGGUCCAGACUCCUACGGGAGGCAGCAUG